AGUGGCCUGCAGUCUGACCAAGAUGGGGUGGAUCAGGCUCCUUCCUCGCAGAACAGUGAAUUCAUCACGUUCAUCGAUCGACAGGCGCAGCGAAGUGGCAUGGACUCUCUGCUCCCGUGCUGGUACUGGGACUGGGAUCGCCAGUCCCAUGCACAUAGAUAAAAUCUGCCGUUGCAUGUAGAUCUGCGUCGCAACUACACGAUCUCAC
RNAcentral lists this long non-coding RNA (208 nucleotides) under Setaria italica (foxtail millet). RNAcentral's name for it is "long non-coding RNA (SITA_LNC006684)". The record is from RNAcentral. Lineage: Eukaryota; Viridiplantae; Streptophyta; Magnoliopsida; Poales; Poaceae.